CUCCUCCAUCUCUAGCUUUUUGGUGGCUAACUGGAGAUAAGAAUCUUAUGGAUUUCUCCUGCCCAGGCUUACUUCCAACUGUGAUCCUCAGAUGUCAGCCUCCUGAAUAGUUAGGAUUACAGGUAUGAGCCACUAUUGCCUGGCCAGAACACUUUUUAAACGAAAUAAAACCAUAUAUAUUAAUGUUGGGAGCUAAGCUUAACAUUUAUGUUGAAAAUAUAGGUUGGAUUAAAUACAUUUUAUGGGGCAUGGGUAUGGUUAUAAUUAAAAAAGGCAUACAUUUGGCACUAAAUGAAACAAAUGAAGAUGAGCAAAACUAGGUGACUGUCAACUGCUCCCAUCUUGAA
Dipodomys spectabilis (banner-tailed kangaroo rat) is the source of this 347-nucleotide long non-coding RNA. RefSeq lists it as uncharacterized. The transcript has 2 exons. The record is from RefSeq and is a predicted model, not a curated record. Lineage: Eukaryota; Metazoa; Chordata; Mammalia; Rodentia; Heteromyidae.